CAAUCUAUACGGUGAAACUGCGAAUGGCUCAUUAAAUCAGUUAUCGUUUAUUUGAUAGUACCUUACUACUUGGAUAACCGUGGUAAUUCUAGAGCUAAUACAUGCUAAAAACCCCGACUUCGGGAGGGGUGUAUUUAUUAGAUAAAAAACCAAUGCCCCUCGGGGCUCCUUGGUGAUUCAUGAUAACUUAACGAAUCGCAUGGCCUUGCGCCGGCGAUAGUUCAUUCAAAUUUCUGCCCUAUCAACUUUCGAUGGUAGGAUAGUGGCCUACCAUGGUGUCAACGGGUAACGGGGAAUUAGGGUUCUAUUCCGGAGAGGGAGCCUGAGAAACGGCUACCACAUCCAAGGAAGGCAGCAGGCGCGCAAAUUACCCAAUCCCGACGCGGGGAGGUAGUGACAAUAAAUACUGAUACAGGGCUCUUUUGGGUCUUGUAAUUGGAAUGAGUACAAUUUAAAUCCCUUAACGAGGAACAAUUGGAGGGCAAGUCUGGUGCCAGCAGCCGCGGUAAUUCCAGCUCCAAUAGCGUAUAUUAAAGUUGUUGCAGUUAAAAAGCUCGUAGUUGAACCUUGGGCCUGGCUGGCCGGUCCGCCUCACCGCGUGCACUGGUCCGGCCGGGCCUUUCCUUCUGGGGAUCCGCAUGCCCUUCGCUGGGCGUGCCGGGGAACCAGGACUUUUACUUUGAAAAAAUUAGAGUGUUCAAAGCAGGCCUUUGCUCGAAUACAUUAGCAUGGAAUAAUGGGAAUAGGA
RNAcentral lists this ribosomal RNA (748 nucleotides) under Lichenothelia arida. RNAcentral's name for it is "SSU rRNA". It matches the Rfam family "Eukaryotic small subunit ribosomal RNA", at positions 70 to 828 of the family's 1831-position model. The record is from RNAcentral. Lineage: Eukaryota; Fungi; Ascomycota; Dothideomycetes; Lichenotheliales; Lichenotheliaceae.